Molecule: ribosomal RNA, 301 nt
Filed under: uncultured bacterium
Lineage: Bacteria
Description: partial 16S ribosomal RNA
Rfam family: Bacterial small subunit ribosomal RNA
Source: RNAcentral
CAGUAGCCGCGGUAAUACGGAGGGUGCAAGCGUUAAUCGGAAUUACUGGGCGUAAAGCGCACGCAGGCGGUUUGUUAAGUCAGAUGUGAAAUCCCCGAGCUUAACUUGGGAACUGCAUUUGAAACUGGCAAGCUAGAGUCUUGUAGAGGGGGGUAGAAUUCCAGGUGUAGCGGUGAAAUGCGUAGAGAUCUGGAGGAAUACCGGUGGCGAAGGCGGCCCCCUGGACAAAGACUGACGCUCAGGUGCGAAAGCGUGGGGAGCAAACAGGAUUAGAGACCCCGGUAGUCCCUGUCUCUUAUAC